UACGGAGGGUGCAAACGUUGUCCGGAAUCACUGGGCGUAAAGCGCAUGUAGGUGGUUAUGUAAGUGAGCGAUUAAAGCCUGACGCUUAACGUCAGUACUGUUACUCAUACUGCAUGACUAGAGGAAGACAGGGGUAAGCGGAACUUUAGGUGUAGGAGUGAAAUCCGUAGAUAUCUAAAGGAACACCAAUGGCGAAGGCAGCUUACUGGGUCUUUUCUGACACUGAGAUGCGAAAGCGUGGGGAGCGAACGGG
Molecule: ribosomal RNA, 253 nt
Filed under: uncultured bacterium
Lineage: Bacteria
Description: partial 16S ribosomal RNA
Rfam family: Bacterial small subunit ribosomal RNA
Source: RNAcentral